CCCCGCGGGGCCAAGGAAGGUCAGGGUCACUGCAGGCGCCCUCAAACCCCAGGGACACUUGGGGGAUGGGGCUGGGCAGCCACCAGGAUGGAAUUCUUGUGAGCGAGGGGCCCUGCCUUUGGGGGUUGCACCCCUGUGGGAGGCCCGCCAGGCCUGACUGCCACGGGCACAGCCUAAAGACACCAGGAUAAACCCAGAUGCUGUUGUCCGGGGUUUCAAAACAUGCAUCGGAUGUUUCAGAUUAAUUCAAUUACUUUUUCGAUGUGCGUCUUCCUAGAGGGAAGAUCCAGAAAGGGAGACAAAACCCUGCAAGUGGUUCACCCGACAGGGCUGUGCUGUGGGUGACCCCUGGGCAGGUGCAAUAGCCAUUCGCUUAACCAGGGACCCGCCCCCCGCCCCGCCACUGCCCUGGGAGGAGCUGACUCUGGUCUUCCCUGCCAGUUUCCCCAAGCUGUUAGGUAGGCCAUGAGCCCCCAGAGGCCCUGCACUCACUAACGGUCGAGGGGCAGAAUUUGUCUUUGUUGGCACCAAAGGCAUACAGGCGGCAGCAAGAGGAUGGGGUCAGCCAGUCAAUGAAGUCAUCCACCCAGGAAGAGGCAGGGAUGGCCAGGAGAAGCUGUCGCAUCCUGCGCUCGAGCAAAUGGCAUUCAUUCCCGCCUCGCUGGAGAAGUUGUAGCCUCCAGUGGUGACAAAGUAGACUGGAGCCCCCACCUCAAAGUAGCGGUUCAGAAAGAGGAAAUAGUCGAGCAGCACAGCCCACAGGCGUGUGCACGUGGAGACAGGCGGUGUGUCAGGCACCUGCAUGGCCUGUUCCUUUCUCCCAAAACCUCUGAGCGCUGGAAGAGAAGAUGGAGUACGAGAAGCCAGGAGUCCACCCCCACCCCCAACCUAGACACAACCGCACAACCCGUCUGAUGGGGUCUGCAGCCCUGGGGGCAGUUGAGGGCUCGCAGCUUCCAGGGAAAGGCCUGGAUGGUGAACUGUGCUUCGUGUCAACACCUUCAGCUCCCAGCACAUGCAGGUGUCCCAGGGGCAGUUUGUAUACCGCUUGCGGGGUCCAGCGUGGGACAUAAGGACCCCACACUCUAUACAUGGCGGAUUUGCAUUCUGAUUGCCGGUCACUGAGCUUCUGAUCUCAGUGGUGCAGAGUCAGGCUGUACUGUGGUUUCCCCCGCCUCCAGCUGGCCCGACUGCCAGGAUAUUUAAAUGGCAAGUGACUGGCUUAUUUUCCGCUUCAUGUUUCCCCUUUUUCUCCUUUGGGGAGCCAGCCAUUUAAGGAAUAGGACAUUCAAACGCAAAUACCGAAGUCACCGCACAUUACCAGGGAAAGGCACAGGCUCAUCAGACUUUAAUUUUAUACCACAGGCUAAUCUCCCAGACACAGACACAGCAACGUCACAUUUGGGGGGAAAAAAAAGCAAACCUUAGAGAAGGGAGGAGAAUCUGAUCUUCAGAGUUACCAUA
Molecule: long non-coding RNA, 1464 nt
Organism: Leopardus geoffroyi (Geoffroy's cat)
Lineage: Eukaryota; Metazoa; Chordata; Mammalia; Carnivora; Felidae
Exons: 5
Source: RefSeq, a predicted model, not a curated record